Molecule: small nuclear RNA, 142 nt
Filed under: Jaculus jaculus (lesser Egyptian jerboa)
Lineage: Eukaryota; Metazoa; Chordata; Mammalia; Rodentia; Dipodidae
Description: U1 spliceosomal RNA (ENSJJAG00000004502.1)
Rfam family: U1 spliceosomal RNA
About the family: U1 is a small nuclear RNA (snRNA) component of the spliceosome (involved in pre-mRNA splicing). Its 5' end forms complementary base pairs with the 5' splice junction, thus defining the 5' donor site of an intron.
Source: RNAcentral
AUGCUUACCUGACAGGAGAGAUAUCCUGAUCAUGACAGGGGUUUUCCCAAGUCAAGGUCAAGGUUUAUACAUUGCACUCCAGAUGUGGGAAUCCCAACUGCAUAAUUUGGGGCAGUAGGGAACUGUGUUUGUGCUCUCCUCU